This 253-nucleotide ribosomal RNA is filed under the name uncultured bacterium. RNAcentral's name for it is "partial 16S ribosomal RNA". It matches the Rfam family "Bacterial small subunit ribosomal RNA", at positions 524 to 776 of the family's 1533-position model. The record is from RNAcentral.
UACGUAGGGGGCAAGCGUUGUCCGGAAUCAUUGGGCGUAAAGCGCGCGUAGGUGGCCCCAUAAGUCCGCUGUGAAAGUCAAAGGCUCAACCUUUGAAAGCCGGUGGAUACUGUGGGACUAGAGUACGGAAGAGGCGAGUGGGAUUCCUGGUGUAGCGGUGGAAUGCGCAGAUAUCAGGAGGAACACCAAUAGCGAAGGCAGCUCGCUGGGACGUUACUGACACUGAGGCGCGAAAGCGUGGGGAGCGAACAGG